ACGACGCUGGCGGCGUGCCUAAUACAUGCAAGUUGAACGCAACAAAGACACCAGAGCUUGCUCUACCGUCUUUGUUGAGUAGCGAACGGGUGAGUAACGCGUGGGUAACCUGCCUUAUAGCGGGGAUAACUAUUGGAAACGAUAGCUAAUACCGCAUAACAAUAGAGAUUGCAUAAUCUUUAUUUGAAAGUGCCAACUGGUACACUAUGAGAUGGACCCGCGUUGUAUUAGCUAGUUGGUAGUGUAAUGGACUACCAAGGCGAUGAUACAUAGCCGACCUGAGAGGGUGAUCGGCCACAUUGGGACUGAGACACGGCCCAAACUCCUACGGGAGGCAGCAGUAGGGAAUCUUCGGCAAUGGACGAAAGUCUGACCGAGCAACGCCGCGUGAGUGAAGAAGGUUUUCGGAUCGUAAAACUCUGUUGUUAGAGAAGAAUGUUGAUUAGAGUGGAAAAUUAAUCAAGUGACGGUAUCUAACCAGAAAGGGACGGCUAACUACGUG
RNAcentral lists this ribosomal RNA (502 nucleotides) under uncultured bacterium. RNAcentral's name for it is "bacterial SSU rRNA". It matches the Rfam family "Bacterial small subunit ribosomal RNA", at positions 32 to 507 of the family's 1533-position model. The record is from RNAcentral.